AGGCCUUGUAAAUGCUUUGUGAAAUCGGCAGGCGUAACCUGUCGGCGUGCAGAGUAGACUGCAGGGCUUGAGACCGGGAGAUGUCAGAAGUAUUCCUAGGGUACCGGUAAAAUGGGUUAAUCCUGGGAGGACUACCGAUGGCGAAGGCAUCUGACAAGCACGGUUCUGACUGUGAGGGACGAAAGCUAGGGGAGCAAAACGGAUUAGAUACCCGAGUAGUCCUAGCCGUAAACGCUGCGAGCAAGGUAUUGCGCCUCCCACGAGGAUGCGCAGUGUCGAAAUGAAGAUGUUAAGCUCGCCACCAGGGAAGUACGGUCGCAAGGCUGAAACUUUAAGGAACUGGCGGGGGAGCGCCACAAGGGGUGCGGCGUGCGGUUCAAUCUAACUCAACGCAGAGAACCUCACUAGGCCCGACGGCAGAAUGAAGGUCAUGCUGAAGACAUUGCCUGACAAGCCGAGAGGUAGUGCAUGGCCGUCGCCAGCUCGUGCUGUGAAGUGUCCAGUUAAGUCUGGCAACGAGCGAGACCUGUACCCUCUAUUGCUAACGACUGCUACGGCAGGAUUGAGCACUUUGAGGGGACUGCCCUGGAAACGGGGAGGAAGGUGCAGGCUACGGUAGGUCUGUAUGCUCCGAAUGGUCUAGGCUACAC
This 650-nucleotide ribosomal RNA is filed under the name uncultured archaeon SW3. RNAcentral describes it as "bacterial SSU rRNA". It matches the Rfam family "Archaeal small subunit ribosomal RNA", at positions 526 to 1175 of the family's 1478-position model. The record is from RNAcentral.